Molecule: long non-coding RNA, 987 nt
Organism: Photinus pyralis (common eastern firefly)
Lineage: Eukaryota; Metazoa; Arthropoda; Insecta; Coleoptera; Lampyridae
Exons: 3
Source: RefSeq, a predicted model, not a curated record
AGAUAAAAGGCCUAAACUCCGUACAAUCUGCGCAUGCGAAAGAAACGUCAAAGUUGCAAUGUUAUUAAUUAAAAUGUAGGUUAGGUUAUUGUUUUCAUCACAAGCUGGUAUCUGUUAUAAUGAAUAAACAUAUUCGUAAAUCGUAAUGUACAUUUAAACUCACAGACUUUUGACGUUGUUAUGCCAAGAGCCAUGUUUCGCUGCGGCAGUAUAAAAUUCGAAAAGGACAGUAUAAGCCCCAUGUUCACAAAUCGUAACCCAAGACAUUUCAAAUACCUACGAAUCGCUAAUAAACCGGACGGCUACUACGGUGAUAAAACUGGAACGCUCCUACUGGCAUAAAUAUACAAAUUUGCUUUCCUACCGCCUCCAAUAAGACAGCCCGAUUGUAGAUGACAACCGACACAAACAGGCCGUCACGUAACUUCAUUGUUCGUGCAUUACAUCAACGGACCCGACACUCACCGCUAGCACGAAGGAAUGGGCCAUCAAAACCAGGCUGUAUAAGACCAUGCAUCAAGUCGUUGGCGUUUCAGUUCUUCGUACAAAGAUACCUUGCAAGCGGUCCGACAGAGUUUAUGUGCGAUUGCAAACCCGAACACAACGGCAGUAAGGUCACAAAGUUUCUAACGUGCUCCAAGAUUUCAAUUUGAAAUUGUCUGAACCGGAAUAGUCAAGAGAGCCGUGGACGAGAGAAAGAUUACCAAACCCGUGGGAUAUAAUCUGACUUGACAGAUAAUGUGAAUCGAUCUUAAAUUGUGGACCUAUUAGUUUCUGUAAAGAGAAGGCUGAGUAUUGGGUCGCUGCAAUGAAGUGAUAGAAAGCCCUACGUUCAGUCUGUCGAGAUGCUUCCCUGUUUCUAACUCAAAGGUUCUUCCAAAGAAGGUGCUUAUUACUAAUUUCUAGAUUGCAUGAAAAACCGUUUAUUUGAUUUUUUAAGAAGAAGUUAAUGGGUUUCAAGAACAAUAAAUUUGAUAAAUAUGUAAA